CGGGACGGGUGAGUAAUGUAUGGGGAUCUGCCUGAUGGCGGGGGAUAACUACUGGAACGGUAGCUAAUACCGCAUAAUGUCUACGGACCAAAGCGGGGGACCUCCGGGCCUCGCGCCAUCAGAUGAACCCAUAUGGGAUUAGCUUGUAGGUAAGGUAACGGCUUACCUAGGCGACGAUCCCUAGCUGGUCUGAGAGGAUGAUCAGCCACACUGGGACUGAGACACGGCCCAG
This 232-nucleotide ribosomal RNA is filed under the name uncultured bacterium. RNAcentral's name for it is "partial 16S ribosomal RNA". It matches the Rfam family "Bacterial small subunit ribosomal RNA", at positions 100 to 334 of the family's 1533-position model. The record is from RNAcentral.